AAAAAAACUGCAGAAAAAAAAAAAAGUCAAGAUUAAGAGCAUAGACUUUGGACUCAGAGCUACCUGCCUGAGUUCAAAUUCUGACUCAGUUGGUUUGUAUGAUAUAGCAUGGACAAGUUGUUGAACCUCUGAGUCUCAGUUUUAUCACCAGUAAAUGUAAGAUACUAAGACUGUCUUGUAAGAUGUCACAUGGAGUAAAUGAGAUGAUGGCCUUACAGCAUUUAGUGAUUAAAUGCCAGCUAGGGUAGGGCAUCUGGAUUGCUGCUGCUUCUGCUCCCGCUGAUGAGGACUAAGUGGAUGCAGUCCCUGGCUUGGAAUGUUGUGAAGAAGUGGCAAGCAGCUGCUGGAAGGGACAGUGUUGGUUCCUGCGUCUGGGAACUUCUCUGUUCAGUGAGUGCCUUCCCCCCUAAUGCACUAUUUGCUUUUAAAGUUUCCUUAGAAACCACACAUUAUCAUGUAACUCACCCUUGGCUCCAUUUGAACACAUUUUUAUUUUUUUGUGUGUGAAUCACAAGGUCUGUUCCUUUCAGUUGUGGCCUUUUGCUUGUCCCUGCUUUCCCUGGGUUUCUAAAGUGUGGCCAUUCAAGAGGGCCAAGGCCGUCUCCUGUGUCACGCCAAGAUUGUGUUUGUGCUCUUGGCAGGAUGUGUUGUUAACCUUUGAAUGCCGUGUCUCUGCAAGAAAAACUGUGCUCCAGUGACACACUUUAGUUAGGAACUUUGUGAGUAGUGUUGGAAAUAACAUCGGCAGUACGCAGGCCCAAUUCUGGGGUGUAGGAGGGCACCCUUUUAUCAAGCGAUUGCAUAGAAAUCCCACUCUUUGGCAAGGAAGGAUGCCACAGUACCCUGACUCCAUCUCCCAGGCCUCCAGGGGACACUCCCACUUCUCUCUUUGCCUCUUCCACCUGCUCCUGUCCUCAAGCUGGUGCACAACCAGUGCUCUUUCCAUUUGCAAAAAAAGGGGUGGUUGCCUGAAUGCUGAGGAAAAGGAAAACAGUGCCCAAGAAAGUGCCUUAACCUCCUUUUCAGUUACUGUCACUUCCAUAUGACCCAGCUCUAAAGAGACAAGACUCAAUCCUAUGAGGGUAGGGGACUUAUUCAGCUAAAAUGAGCAUUUGAUGCAGAAUCAGCUGUAUGUUGAAUGGUUACAGCACAGAGAGCCCUCAGCCAUCCUUAGAAGUUCUUUACUACUUGCACAACCAGCAUGCACAACCAGAAGUACAUUUUUUUUUUUUCCAACUGAAAAUUACUUUUUUCCCCCCUGGUUACUUAAGUAAUUUGAGCUUAUUGUAGAGAAUUCAGAAAAUAUAAUAAGGAGUAAAGAAGAGAGUUAACUCUACCCACCCCCAAAUAAUUACUAAUAGUUUGGAGUCAAACUUCAUAGACUUUUCCUAUGCAUGCACUUAAUUCAUUCAUUUUUUUUUUUUUAAGUGACUGUACUAUUCAUGUUGUUUGGGAAACCUUUGAUCCAAUAUCCAUUGCCACACAAAUCCAAUCUAAGUUUUAGAAGUAUAAAAUAGCAACCAAUUUGUUACAUCACAUGAAUUCUGUGGGAGGGAAGUAUGGACCAUGGCAUGGCGUACUUCUGCCCCAUGAAGUCUGGGACUGCACCUGGAAAAUCUCAAAUGACUGGGGAUGACUGAAAUGUCUGGGGCCUGGAAACUUCUGGAGGCUUCUUUCUUCAUUCUCACGGCUGGCACUUGGGUUGAGUUCAUUGAAAUUCUGAACAUGGUUGGGAUUGUUGACUGGAGUGCCUGAUUGUAGCAUCUCCAUGUGGCUUGGACUUCCUCACAGUACCGUGGUGUUGAGGUAGUUGGACUUCUUAUAUGGUGGCUCAAGGCUCUAAGAGUGAGUGUUCCAGAGAACAAGGCAAAAGUGUGGCCUUUUAUGAUCUAGCCUUCAAAGACAUAAAAUGUCACUUCUGCCGUACUGUAUUGGUCAAAGCAAUAGCAAGCCACUCAGAUUCAAGGGGAGCGGGCAGCAAAGAAGUUGCCACUGUGUUUUAAAAUUCUAACAAAUUUUUGUUUCUUUUAUACAUAACAUGGACAGUAUACUGGAUUUAAUUGUGUCCCCCUCCCAAAUAUGUUCAAAUCCUAACCCUCAGUCCCUGUAAAUGUGAUCUUAUUUGGAAAUAGGCUCUUUCCAGAUGUAAUCAAGUUACGAUGAGACUGUACUGGAUUAGGGUGGGUAUUAAUCUAAGGAUUGGUGUCCUUUUAAGGAGAAAGGAACUUUGAUUUUUUAAUUUCAGGUUAAUGUGAGGUCCAAACAACUAGGUUACACUGCUUGCAUUUGUUAAGAGGAGUCUCAUAGUUGUGCCCUGCACCGAGGAGGUGUGCCAGCUACUCUCACAUCGUGCCCAUUAAGUGGGAGAACACCGAUCCCACUUCCUCUUCCCCUCUCCUCCUUCCCUUGUUCCUUCUCUGCCAACUAGAAUCGAGUUUUUCUCUUAUGUGGGUGUGUUAGAUCACCUCUUGGCUUCAUAUUACUAUUGAGUAUACUGGAUACUUACUUUUCCAUUCUUGUCAUACUUUACUAAGAAUGUGCUUCAACUCCAUCUAGGUUAAUACAAAAGAUGUAAAGUCUCCAUCUUUUUAAUGGCUGAAUAGUAUUCCAUGGUAUGCACAUACCAGUUUUUUUUUUUGUUUUUGGUUUUUUGAGACAGAGCCUCAAGCUGUUGCCCUGGGUAGAGUGCUGUGACAUCACAGCUCACAGCAACCUUCAACUCUUGGGCUUAAGCAAUUCUCUUGCCUCAGCCUCCCACGUAGCUGGGACUACAGGCUCCCACCACAAUGCCCAGCUACAACCAAAAUUGUAGUUGUCAUUGUUGUUUGGCAGGCCUGGGCUGGAUUCGAACCCGCCAUCUCUGGUGUAUGUGGCUGGCACUUUAGUCGCUUGAGCUAAAGGCCCCGAGCCACACAUACCAGUUUGUUAAUCCAUUUCUGGGUUGCUGGGCACUUGGGUUGUUUCCAUAUCUUGGUGAUUGUAAAUUGAACUGUGAUAAAUGAUCCAGUGCAAAUGUCCUUAUAUAAAAUGAUUUUUUUUCUUCUGGGUAGAUGGUUCAUAAUGGGAUUGCAGGAUCAAAUGGAAGGUCUAAUUUGAGUUCUUUGAGGAUUCUCCAUUCUUCUUUCCAAAGAGGCCAUAUUAGAGUGAAGUCCUACCAACAGUGUAAAAGUGUUCCUAGAAGAGGGACAUUUGGACACAGACACAUAAGGAGAAUGCCAUGUGAAAGUGAACAUUGGAGCAAAAAACCUAUAAGCCGAGGGACACCAGGGAUUGCUGGCAGCACCAGGAGAGCCUUGCAUGGUUAUCAUGGAAUCAGCCUUCAAUGCAAAUCAAUUAGUCACCACCAACAAAAAAGUAUGAGAAAAUACAAGGACUAAUCACCUACAAGGAUUAUGUGAAAGGAUCUCAAGUAUUAAGAUUUUUAAGGAUUUAAAGAAACUCUUGUCCUGUCUGAAAACCUGCUUGAUUAGGUGACCUAAGGAACAGAUGUAAGACUUCCUGUUCUCCAGGAAGCCACCAAAGAAGUCUGAAGCAGCCAAGCCUCUUUGCCAAGGGUUAAGGAAUGAUUCAGAAAUGUAAUCCCGGCAGACAGCUACAGAAACAUACCCUGUACACCACGGGCCUUGUGCUUCUUGGUCCUCUCUGCUGCUCCUUUAUGAUUUCUGGGUUGGAGGAGGCCUCUUGUGUGUUCCUUCUUAAGUUCAAUUCCCUCUUUUCUUUCCUUGGAGCCCGGGAGCCCUCCCUUUCUCUUGGGGCUGGGAAGUCAGUGGCAGGCAAAGCUGCUAGCUCUGCAAGGCUGAACUAGGUGUGUCGUUUCAUUUCUUCCAUGGACUGGUGGUCUUCUAAUAAAGUGCCUGAA
Nycticebus coucang (slow loris) is the source of this 3859-nucleotide long non-coding RNA. RefSeq lists it as uncharacterized. The record is from RefSeq and is a predicted model, not a curated record. NCBI's taxonomy places the organism in Eukaryota, Metazoa, Chordata, Mammalia, Primates, Lorisidae. The transcript is spliced from 3 exons.